GAAUAUUGGACAAUGGGCGAAAGCCUGAUCCAGCCAUGCCGCGUGUGUGAAGAGGGUCUUCGGAUUGUAAAGCACUUUAAGUUGGGAGGAAGGGCAGUAAGCGAAUACCUUGCUGUUUUGACGUUACCGACAGAAUACGCACACGCUAACUCUGUGCCCGCAGCAGCGGUAAUACAGAGGGUGCAAGUGUUAAUCGGAAGUACUGGGAGUAAAGCGCGCGUAGGUGGUUCGGUAAGUUGGAUGUGAAAUCCCCGGGCUCAACCUGGGAACUGCAUCCAAAACUGGCGAGCUAGAGUAGGGCAGAGGGUGGUGGAAUUUCCUGUGUAGCGGUGCAAUGCGUAGAUAUAGGAAGGAACACCAGUGGCGAAGGCGACCACCUGGGCUCAUACUGACACUGAGGUGCGAAAGCGUGGGGAGCAAACAG
RNAcentral lists this ribosomal RNA (424 nucleotides) under uncultured bacterium. RNAcentral describes it as "partial 16S ribosomal RNA". It matches the Rfam family "Bacterial small subunit ribosomal RNA", at positions 359 to 775 of the family's 1533-position model. The record is from RNAcentral.